ACAACAAACAAACAAAAGAAGAGAGCAGAACAGAUAUGUCAUCUCAAAUGCUGAAUUGCUUUACUGACACCUGUCAAUCACUGCUGAACAACUUGAAGAACCUGAAAUGGAGGGGUAGCAGUGUUUUGAAAGAGCCAGUUUCCACUGUACAUUAGUGUUAUUUGGUGAUGGAGACUGAAUCCAGACAUUGUGCACAAUAAGUUUGCACUACCAUUGAGCUGCUGUGCCACCUAUCAUUUUUUUCUCUCUUCUUUUGAAACAGUGUCUCAUGCUCACUAUGGAUCAGGGGAAGACCUCAAACCAGAAGGUCUUUUGACCUCCACUCCUUAAUGCUAGGAUUGCAGCUUUCCUUUCCUACCCACUAAUUCAGUUCACAGCCUCUCCUUUUCAUCUGGAUCUAAUGCUUCUCCAAGCGAUACCUUUUUGGUGUGUCGGCCAAUUAACUGACAAUCAAGAGAAGGUUCUCUGAGUUCAAGUGACUGAAGUUGUCUGUAGCCACCUGUCCUUUCCAAGACACAGAGGAAGGCAUCUGCAGCAAGAGAGAAUGACGCCACCACACUUAGAAAGAUGCAAAGCAGCCCUGAGAGAAGGCUGAGUUCUGCCAAGCAGUCAUUCCCCGAAGCUGACCUGUCAGGAAGGUUUGGAUUAUGUUGUCUUUGAUAGCCACAAGCCAAUCAGCAUGGGCCCCAGAUGGAUGUGGAUAAGUCAAGCCUGCCAAAACCAACGAGAUUGUGCUCUAAGAUUCCAGUUGUGAGAAGCAUACUUCCUCUUCCUCAUAGAAGCAGGUGGGCUGGAGUCCUUGACAUCUCAGAAAAAGCUUGCUGGGGAUGAGCUACCAGUCAGGGAACAGUGCCAAGAAAUAAGAGGCAUUUCAGUCACACUGAGUGAGUCACCAGACUCUAAGACAGUAACUUGCCUCUGGGUUAAUCACAUAUGUGAGGUAAGACUUUCUUUACCUUUAAUUACUUUAAUGCAGUUUGAAUCGGGCUUUUCAUUAUUUGCAAAGAAUAUUUGGAAAAUAUACUUAUAUGCCUGCAAUGCUGCUUUUAUAAUUACUCAGUUCCAUGAGGUGGGCAGGAGAGUUACACAGAUGUCCUGUUCUUGCAUGCAGUCUUACUUAUUUCUUGGAAUCACUAUGUCUAAAAAUGAAGACUGAAGGAAUUGACUCCCAAGUUUGGUAUUAGAGGAAAUCGGUUUCAGUCUUGGUUCUGACAAUGAUUAAAUGAAUUGGAAUGCAUCCAACUUGUUUGUCUAUAAAAUGAAGAGAUGAGUCUCAAUGAA
Long non-coding RNA from Peromyscus leucopus (white-footed mouse), 1281 nucleotides. RefSeq lists it as uncharacterized. NCBI's taxonomy places the organism in Eukaryota, Metazoa, Chordata, Mammalia, Rodentia, Cricetidae. The record is from RefSeq and is a predicted model, not a curated record. The transcript has 3 exons.